UGAGGAAUAUUGGUCAAUGGGCGAGAGCCUGAACCAGCCAAGUAGCGUGAAGGAUGACUGCCCUAUGGGUUUGUAAACUUCUUUUAUAAAGGAAUAAAGUCGGGUAUGGAUACCCGUUUGCAUGUACUUUAUGAAUAAGGAUCGGCUAACUCCGUGCC
RNAcentral lists this ribosomal RNA (158 nucleotides) under uncultured bacterium. Its description in RNAcentral is "partial 16S ribosomal RNA". It matches the Rfam family "Bacterial small subunit ribosomal RNA", at positions 355 to 509 of the family's 1533-position model. The record is from RNAcentral.